This 72-nucleotide transfer RNA is filed under the name Ovis aries (sheep). It matches the Rfam family "tRNA". Rfam says of the family: Transfer RNA (tRNA) molecules are approximately 80 nucleotides in length. Their secondary structure includes four short double-helical elements and three loops (D, anti-codon, and T loops). Lineage: Eukaryota; Metazoa; Chordata; Mammalia; Artiodactyla; Bovidae. The record is from Rfam by way of RNAcentral.
UCCCUAGUCGCUCAGAUGGUAAAGAAUCUGCCUGCAAGGCAGGAUACCCAGGUUGGAUCCCUGGUUGGGAAG